GAUGAAGAACGUAGCGAAAUGCGAUAAGUAAUGCGAAUUGCAGAAUUCCAGUGAGUCAUCGAAUCUUUGAACGCACAUUGCGCCCUUUGGUAUUCCGAAGGGCAUGCCUGUUCGAGCGUCAUUAUCACCCCUCAAGCCCUCGGCUUGGUGUUGGACGGUUUGGUGGAGGCCCCCUCGGGGGCUCCUGCCCCUCCCAAGGACAAUGACGGCGGCCUCGUUGGACCCCCGGUACACUGAGUUCUUCACGGGACACGUAUCGGACACAUGGGUUUACGGGACACGGUCUGCCUCCCCUCAGGGAGAAUCUUUCUAAGGUUGACCUCGGAUCAGGUAGGGAUACCCGCUGAACUUAAGCAUAUCAAUAAGCGGAGGA
Molecule: unclassified non-coding RNA, 373 nt
Filed under: soil metagenome
Description: partial contains 5.8S ribosomal RNA, internal transcribed spacer 2, and large subunit ribosomal RNA
Rfam family: 5.8S ribosomal RNA (bases 1-121)
Source: RNAcentral